GCUGGGUGUGGUCGUGCAUUCCUGUAAUCCCAGUGUCUGGGAGGCUGAGGCGGGAGGAGUCUGAGUUCAAAGCCAGCCUUGG
This 82-nucleotide small RNA is filed under the name Marmota monax (woodchuck). Lineage: Eukaryota; Metazoa; Chordata; Mammalia; Rodentia; Sciuridae. The record is from RNAcentral.